CGUAGGGGGCAAGCGUUGUCCGGACUUACUGGGCGUAAAGCGCGCGCAGGCGGAUGGGUAUGUGCCGUGUGAAAGCGCCGUCCUUACGAUGGCGAGGUCAUGGUAGACAGCCCGUCUGGAGGCUCGAAGAGGUCGGUGGAAUUCCGGGUGGAGCGGUGAAAUGCGUAGAUAUCCGGAGGAACACCAGGGGCGAAAGCGGCCGACUGGUCGAGUACUGACGCUGAGGCGCGACGGCGUGGGGAGCAAACCGGAUUAGAUACCCGGGUAGUCCACGCAGUAAACGAUGCACACCCGGUGUGGGGGCUGGAUUUCCUCCAGGCCUCCGUGCCCAAGGUUACCUGAUGAGUGUGCCGCCUGGGGACUACGAGCGCAAGCUUA
RNAcentral lists this ribosomal RNA (378 nucleotides) under uncultured organism. RNAcentral describes it as "bacterial SSU rRNA". It matches the Rfam family "Bacterial small subunit ribosomal RNA", at positions 526 to 896 of the family's 1533-position model. The record is from RNAcentral.